CAUGCAAGUCGAACGGAAAGUGCCCAGCUUGCUGGGUGACUCGAGUGGCGAACGGGUGAGUAACACGUGGGUGAUCUGCCCUGCACUUUGGGAUAAGCCUGGGAAACUGGGUCUAAUACCGAAUACACCCUGCUGGUCGCAUGGCCUGGUGGGGGAAAGCUUUUGCGGUGUGGGAUGGGCCCGCGGCCUAUCAGCUUGUUGGUGGGGUGAUGGCCUACCAAGGCGACGACGGGUAGCCGGCCUGAGAGGGUGUCCGGCCACACUGGGACUGAGAUACGGCCCAGACUCCUACGGGAGGCAGCAGUGGGGAAUAUUGCACAAUGGGCGCAAGCCUGAUGCAGCGACGCCGCGUGGGGGAUGACGGCCUUCGGGUUGUAAACCUCUUUCAAUAGGGACGAAGCGCAAGUGACGGUACCUAGAGAAGAAGCACCGGCCAACUACGUGCCAGCAGCCGCGGUAAUACGUAGGGUGCGAGCGUUGUCCGGAAUUACUGGGCGUAAAGAGCUCGUAGGUGGUUUGUCGCGUUGUUCGUGAAAACUCACA
RNAcentral lists this ribosomal RNA (543 nucleotides) under uncultured Mycobacterium sp. RNAcentral describes it as "bacterial SSU rRNA". It matches the Rfam family "Bacterial small subunit ribosomal RNA", at positions 54 to 606 of the family's 1533-position model. The record is from RNAcentral. Lineage: Bacteria; Bacillati; Actinomycetota; Actinomycetes; Mycobacteriales; Mycobacteriaceae.